Molecule: unclassified non-coding RNA, 25 nt
Filed under: Mus musculus (house mouse)
Lineage: Eukaryota; Metazoa; Chordata; Mammalia; Rodentia; Muridae
Description: oocyte_clustered_small_RNA9376
Source: RNAcentral
AUCAAGCUCGCCGGGCGUGGUGGCG